RNAcentral lists this ribosomal RNA (466 nucleotides) under uncultured bacterium. Its description in RNAcentral is "partial 16S ribosomal RNA". It matches the Rfam family "Bacterial small subunit ribosomal RNA", at positions 28 to 507 of the family's 1533-position model. The record is from RNAcentral.
GAUGAACGCUGGCGGCGUGCUUAACACAUGCAAGUCGAACGGAAAGGCCCAAGCUUGCUUGGGUACUCGAGUGGCGAACGGGUGAGUAAAACGUGGGUGAUCUGCCCUGAACUUCGGGAAAAGCCUGGGAAACUGGGUCUAAUACCGGAAAGGACCACAUUUGGGAUGGUGUGGUGGAAAGUUUUUCGGUGUGGGAUGAGCUCGCGGCCUAUCAGCUUGUUGGUGGGGUAAUGGCCUACCAAGGCGUCGACGGGUAGCCGGCCUGAGAGGGUGUACGGCCACAUUGGGACUGAGAUACGGCCCAGACUCCUACGGGAGGCAGCAGUGGGGAAUAUUGCACAAUGGGCGCAAGCCUGAUGCAGCGACGCCGCGUGGGGGAUGACGGCCUUCGGGUUGUAAACUCCUUUCGCUAGGGACGAAGCGUUAUGUGACGGUACCUGGAGAAGAAGCACCGGCUAACUACGUG